This 337-nucleotide ribosomal RNA is filed under the name Cimex sp. C10. Its description in RNAcentral is "partial 28S ribosomal RNA". It matches the Rfam family "Eukaryotic large subunit ribosomal RNA", at positions 662 to 965 of the family's 3401-position model. The record is from RNAcentral. Lineage: Eukaryota; Metazoa; Arthropoda; Insecta; Hemiptera; Cimicidae.
CGGACCAAGGAGUUUAGCGUGUGCGCGAGUCAUUGGGUGGAAAACCUAAAGGCGCAAUGAAAGUGAAGGGGGCCUCUGGCCCCCGAGGGAAGAUGGGCGUCCGUCCUUCGCAGGCGGCGCCCCGCACUCCCGGGGCGUCUCUUUCUCGUUACGAGUGGAGGCGCACCUGUAGCGCACACGCUGAUACCCGAAAGAUGGUGAACUAUGCCUGGCCAGGACGAAGCCAGGGGAAACCCUGGUGGAGGUCCGCAGCGAUUCUGACGUGCAAAUCGAUCGUCGGAGCUGGGUAUAGGGGCGAAAGACCAAUCGAACCAUCUAGUAGCUGGUUCCUUCCGAA